This 3321-nucleotide long non-coding RNA is filed under the name Homo sapiens (human). Its description in RNAcentral is "HSALNT0216758". The record is from RNAcentral. Lineage: Eukaryota; Metazoa; Chordata; Mammalia; Primates; Hominidae.
CCAGCAGGCUCACCUGGAGUCCAAAGUCGGCAGCCUCAGUCGUGUAUUCGUAGACAGGUGAAGACCCCUGCGGCCGUGGUCGAAUGCCCUCAUCCGCAGGCCCUUCAGUCACCUGACGGGAGAGAAUCCAGUUAUUUUUGCCACUCGGUUCUCCCAGGGCCCAGGGAGAAUGGGGGCAGGGUAUGAGGAGGACACACUUCCUCCUGCUCUCACUUACAGAGUGGUCAUCUUCCGUUUCUGCACCUGGCUCCCCGGGCUGCAGCUGACGGCCGGACACUGCAGAGAGAGUGGCUGUCAGUGGAGACAAGCAGGCUGGGGGAGCAGAUCGGGGCCCGGGGGAGGGAGCCAGGACUGUAUGUACACUGUGGAGGUGUCAUAGUCCUUUCCUGGACACUGGAUCGGAGAGCAAACUCAGGGGCUGGGGGAAGAUCUAUAGCCAAUGGGCUGGAGAGGCUGAGGCAUCACGUCAGGUAGCAGUGAAUUGAGACUGGACUUAUUCCAAGUUGGAACAGAUUUAGUCCAAGAAAGUGACUAAACAAACACAAGGCGUUUGUUAUUGUAUAACCACACCCUGGGAGGAUCAGAAUCCAGAGCUGCCAGAAUAUAUUAUCUAAAAUGUCCAGCAGCCACCAAAAAAUUACAAGUUACGCGAAGAAACAAGAAUGUAUGGUCCAUACUGAGAAACAAAGCAGUGAAUGGAAAGUGUCUCUAAAUGUCUACUAAUGCUGGGUUUAAUACAGACUUCAAAGAAACUAUUAAAAGUUUGUUCAGGCCGGGCACGGUGGCUCAUGCCUGUAAUCCCAGGACUUUGGGAGGCUGAGGCGGGUGGAUCACCUGAGGUUGGGAGUUCGAGACCAGCCUCACCAACAUGGAGAAACCCCAUCUCUACUAAAAAUACAAAAUUAGCCAGGCAUGGUGGCACAUGCCUGUAAUCCCAGCUACUCAGGAGGCUGAGGUAGGAGAAUCACUUGAACCUGGGAGGCGGAGGUUGUGGUGAGCCGAGAUUGUGCCAUUGUACUCCAGCCUGGGCAACAAGAGUGAAACUCCGUCUCAAAAAGAAAAAAAAAAGUUUGUUCAAAACACAAAAACAAAUCAUGUUUAAAAAAUUAAUGGAAAAUAUGUUAACAAUGGCUCAAUGAAGAGAGAAUCUCAUAAAGAAAUAAAACUUAUUUUUUAAAAGCAAGCAAAAAUUCUGGAGUUGAAAAUUUACUACUGGGGUUCACCAACAGAUUUGAGAUACCAGAAGAAUUAUCAACUUGUAGAUUAAUAUAAAUUAACCAAUUUGAAGAACGGGGUCAGGGGGAAGAUUGUUUGAAGAAAAACAGAGUCUCAGAGCAUUAACCAUAAGAUAAAGAGGCAGAAGAGAGAGUUGAAGAAGUGAUAGCUGAAAACAAUCUGCAGAAUCCAAGAAGCGCGACCAGACCUAAGCAGGAGAAACACAGAGAUCCACACCUAGAAACGUCACAGUCAAAAUGCUUAAGAGAAAGGGCCCCAUCACAUAAUAAGGGCACAAAAAUACAACUAACACCUGAAUCACAUCAAAACCAUAGAAGCUACGAGAAAGUGGAACAAUAUAUUCAAAGGGCUGAAAGAAACUGUUGUCAACGAAGAAUUUGAUAUCAAGCAACCUAUCCUUCCAAAAAUAAAGGCAAAAUAGUCUGGGCAUGCUGGCUUAUGCCUGUAAUCCCAGCACUUUGGGAGGCUGAAGUGCGAGGAUUGCUUGAGCCCAGAAACUCAAGGCCAGCCUGAGCAAUAUAGUAAGAUCUCAUCUCUACAAAAAAAAAUUUUUUUUUUGAGACGGAGUCUCACUCUGUCACCCAGGAUGAAGUGCAGUGGCACGAUCUUGGUUCACUGCAACCUCCGCCUCCCAGGUUCAAGUGAUUCUUCUGCCUCAGCCUCCCGAGUAGCUGGGACUACAGACACGCGCUACCAUGCCCAGCUAAUUUUCGUACGUUUAGGAGAGACGGGUUUCACCAUGUCGGCCAGGCUGGUCUUGAACUCUUGACCUCGUGAUCCGCCUGCCUCAGCCUCCCAAAGUGCUGGGAUUACAGGCAUGAGCUGCCGUGUCCGGCCCAAAAAUUUUUUUAAAAAUUAGCGGGGCAUGGUGGUGCAUGCCUAUAGUCCCAGCUGCUCAGGAGGCUGAGGCGGGAGGAUAGCUUAAGCCUGAGAGGUUGAGGCUGCAGUGAGCUGUGAUUGCACCACUUCACUCUAGUCAGGCAGAGCAAGACUCUGUCUCAAAAAAAUAAAAAUUUAAAUUUUAAAAAAAGGAAAAAUAAAGGCAUUCCCAAAUGAACAAAGACUUGGAAAUGUCAUUGCUAGCAAAUCUGCCUUACAAGAUAUACUAAAGAAGUCCUUCGGACUGAAAGGAACUAAUACCAGACACUAAGUCAAAUGCACAGGAAGAAAUGGAGAAUGCAGAAAAUGGUAACUAUGCAGGCAAAUAUAAAAGACUCUAUGAAUAUAUAUUGUCCUCAUUUUAUUUCUUAACUUCUUUCAAAAACAGAGGAUUGUAUAAAGCAAGGAUUGACAAACUUUUCUUGAAAAAGGCAAUAUAGUGGAUAUUUUAAGCUUACCAGGCCACAUGAUCUCUGUUGCAACUCUGCAGCCAUAGUACAAAAGCAGCUAUAGAUUAUAGAUAAUAUGUAAAUAAAUGAGCAAAACUGUUUCAACAAAACUUUACUUGUAAAACAAAAAGGAGGCUGGAUUUAGAAGACAGACAAUCAUCUGUGAACCACUUAUAUAAGGCAACAAUUCUAACACCAUAUUGUUAGGAUUAUAACAUAUAUAGAUACAGUAUAUACGUGACAAUAAUAGCAAAAAGGAGUAGGAGGAGAGGGUAUACAGUCAGCCUCUCAUAUCAGUGGUUUCUGUAUCCUGAGUUCAAUGAAACUUGGGUCAAAAAUGUUCUCCCAAAAAUUGCACCUGUACUGAACACGUGUAGACUUUUUUUCUUGUCAUUAUUCCCUAAACAAUAUAGUAUACCAGCUAUUUACAUAGCAUUUACAUUGCAUUAGGUAUUAUAAGUAAUCUAGAGAUGAUUUAAAGUAUAGGGGAGGGAAGAUGUAUGUAGGUUAUUUGCAAAUACUACAUUGCUUUAUAGAAGGGACUUGAGCAUCCAUGAAUUUUGGUAUCUGAGGGAGGUCCUAGAAGCAAUCCCUCAUGGAUGCUGAGGCACAAGUGUACCCUGGACCAAAGUUUCUAUAAUUUACCAGAAUUAAGCUGGCAUUGCCUGGGGCUGGGAGUGGGAAGGGAGAUUGAUUGUAAAUGGGGUUGAGAAAAUUUGGAAGGUGAUGGAGGUCUUCCAGAACUGGAUUGUGGUAA